GCCCCGGGGCUCCGCGCCCCUGGCCCGCGCCCCGCGCCGCGCCUGGCCCCGAGCUCAGGCCCCGGCUCCCCGGCCCGGCCGCCCCGCGGGCCCCUCGCAGAAGUUUUGAUCGUCUUCGAAACAAAUCCCUCUGCUCCACCCCCUUGAAAAAUUGAUUUGGGAGUUGGGGAGCGAAGGCUUUCUUUUUUCUCCUCUGCCUUCUUUAUUAUUAAUAUUUUGUAAAGCUCCAGCGCUACGAGGAGUGGCCCCGAGCGAGGCCAGACUGCGCGGACGGCAGGGAGCGCGGCGGCUCCGCCAGGGGACGGCGCCGGCCGGGAGUGGCCGCUUGGGAACCCCCGACUGUCGGCCGAGGGUUGUCGAGAGGCUGAAACAUAAGUGCUCACCACAACACCCAGCACCUACCAGGCCUCUAUACAUAUUUGGUAAAUAAUUGGAUGGACACUUUGGGAGGGUGAGGCUGGUGGAUCACGAGGUCAGGAGUUCAAGACCAACCUGGCCAACAUGGUGAAACCCCAUCUUUACUAAAAAUACAAAAAUUAGCUGGGCAUGGUGGCACGUGUCUGUAAUCCUAGCUAUUUGGGAAGCUGAGGCAGGAGAACCACUUGAAUCCGGGAGGUGGAGGUUGCAGUGAACCGAAAUUGCACCACUGCACUCCAGCCUGGGUGACAGAGCAAGACUCCAUCUCAAGUAGUCAUAAUAAUUGGAUGGAAGAGGGGCCAUGCUACCAAGACUUGGGGAGAACACAGCUCCCUGCUUCUCCUUCAACCAGGGCUUGAGGGCAAACAGACCCCCUGGGCUCACCUGCGUACCUUCCUCCAGGGCAGGCGAAGCUUAGCUCCAGGAAGGUGUGAGCUGGGCGCAGGAGACCUCCAGGCAGUGCCUAGAGGCCCGGCACAGCCUUUGCCACUGGCCCUGCUCUAGAGCCUGGGCCUGCAAGUAGCUGCUCAGAGCUGGACCCUGGCGGGGACACAGAAUUAGGGGCGUUAGCCCAUUACAUCAAAAGCAACCACGUGGGAUUCUCAAGAUGUCACAUAUUUUAAAAUUUAUUUUCUUCAAGAAUCUUUGGCUUUCUUGCCAAAUGGAUGGGCUGGAUUAUUUCUGCAGCCUGUCUGGAACCGGGAGCUUCCCCAGCUGAGGACCACAGUGAGAGCAGAGAAGACCCAGGAUCGUAUUUGAAACCAUAAAAGCCACAUGAAGACACUAAGAAUAACUUGCAGAAAGACAUUUUCUAUGAAUUGAACACAGAGUCCCAAAACCCAGAAAGUUCCCUGGUCUCUAUCUCAUGGGCCCGUGUCUGGGGAAGGGGGCCCGAUGUGAGGCUGGGGCCAGUGCCCAUCCUAUUUGAUCUUUAUCUUAAAUCCACUUCAAAAUGCUGUGGCUUGGUGGAUUGAAGGUUCGCCCCUUCCUGUAAUUAUUUGGUGUCUGGUAAAGUUUUUAUGAGUGUUUGUGCAAAUACAUGCAUUUGAUGUGCAUUUGUUUUGGUUAGUACCGCUUUAUGUAGGAGGUGUGUGCAUCUCCUGUUGGCCCUCAGAAAAGAAAAGAAAAAUAAAACCGAGACUUCUGGACCAGGCAGAGGGGUGGAGCUGGGGCAAUUCCACUGCCAACCACAACCCCUGUGACGUCAGGGGCUCCUGGGCACCAGUGACGAUACAAGUUGGUAGCCUUUGGGUUUACCUUGUGAGGGUGAUCAGGGCUGGCAGUCGGCUGGUGAAAUCCAGAUUCUAGGAAGCCUUUUUUUGAAACAUAACUGGAUCUGCCUCUUUUGCUUUUUUUUUUUUUUUUUUUUAAGACACAGUCUCGCUCAGUCAACCAGGCUGGAGUGCAGUGGUGCGAUCUCAGCUCACUGCAACCUCCUCCUCCCAGGUUCAAGUGAUUCUCUCACCUCAGACUCCCAGGUAGCUGGGAUUAUAGGCACCUGCCACCAUGCUUGGCUAAUUUUUUUGUGUAUUUGGUAGAGACGGGGUUUCACCAUAUUGGUCAGGCUGGUCUCGAACACCUGACCCCAGGUGAUCCGCCUAUCUCUGCCUCCCAAAGUGCUGGGAUUACAGGUGUGAGCCACCACACCCGGCCUGAGUCUGCCUUUUGAUUACUGUCCUCUGGGCAUUCUUGGUAAAGUAAAAUGUAUAAUAAGUAAGGGUGAGUUUUUGGGGGGACUUUAUCAUGUAAGUGACAGAACUUGUCUGUUUCUCUAGAAUGUGAGCUCAGCAGAUCUGGCUAAGAGGAGCUGUGGCUGUCCAGCCUUCUCUGGAUAAGGCAGCAGGGUGGGGCAGGAUGGGUGUUCCUCCUGUGUGGCUGAGGAAGCACCUGCCCCCUAAGGGUGUCAGGGGCCAAGAGCACCCAUGCCUGCCUCACGUCCCCAGCCCAGAGUCAGAAGGCAGCCUGCAGGUGUGUUCAGCUUGGCCCCUAUAGGUAGUCUUUUCUCCCAGCACUGCAGCCUUGAUUUAUUUGCUUUAAAAUUAUUCUAGCAUUUUUAUUGAAGUAUAAUACACAGUAGAAAAGUGCACGAAGCAUAGGAUUACAAAGAGGACAUGCCCAUGCCACCAACACCCAGAUUAAGAGAGAGAAUGUUGCUGGCUUCCUGAAAUCCUUCAUGUUCCCUCCCAGGCACCACCCACCUCCCUCAAAGGAAACCACUAUCUUGGUUUUGCCUGUUGUGAAUUUUCUAUAAAUGGAAUCAUCCUAUAUACUCCUUACCAUACUUUAAUCAUGAGAUUUUGCGUGAAAAUUUUGCGUGGAUUUUUCUCCUGAAUAAUCAGAGGUCUGAUCACUUUGGACCCUCAUUCCAGCAGCAUGCUGACAAGCUGGACCUAAAUUUGUCCUUCCCACCUCCAUCCUAGGCAGGACACCCACUGGAUUCCGUUUGCCAGGGAGCAUUUGUCUUGGUCACUCCAGCUGUCAACCUUUGGCUCCUCCCCUGGUCUUCAGCCCAUCCCCAAAAGGAAUCACUGUAUGUACACUGGGGAACUGCAUCCAGAACCUUCUCUCACCCCACCCCUCCAUCUGCAUCCAGUACCCUUUGAGGCAGAGAUCAUGAGACCUUAAAGAGUCUCAUUCUGUCGCCAGGCAGGAGUGCAGCAGCAUGAUCUCGGCUCACUGCAACCUCUGCCUCCUGGGUUCAAGCGAUUCUCCUGCCUCAGCCUCCAGAGUAGCUGGGAUUACAGGCACCCGCCACCACGCCUGGAUAAUAUUUUGUAUGUAUUUUUAGUAGAGACAGGGUUUCACCAUGUUGUCCAGGCUGGUCUUGAACUCCCGGUCUCAAGCGAUCCGCCUGCCUCAGCCUCCCAAAGUGCUGGAAUUACAGAUGAGAGCCACCGUACCCGGCCUGAAAUAUUGCCUUUUCUUGCAGUUUCUGAAACAAUUUAAUUUCAAACCCUUCAGCUGCAUUUUUUUGUUAUUAUCUUUUAAUUUUGGUGAAGUAUACAUAACAUGAAAUUUACCGUCUUCACCAUUCGUAUGUGUACAGUUCAGUGACAGUAAGUACAUUCCCGUUGUUAUACAACCAUCACCACUAUUUGUCUCCAGUACUCUUUUCAUUUUGUAAAACAAACUGUAUGCAUUAAAGGAUAACUCCCCAGUGCCCUCCCCUGACCUAGUCCCUGGCAGCCACCGUUCUGCUUUUUCUGUCUCUGCAUUUGACUACUCUUAGGUGCCUCAUGGAGGUGGAAUUGUACAUAUUUGUGCAUGUGUGACUGGCUUAUUUCACCUAACAUAAUGUCUUCCAGGGUCAUCCAUGUUGUAGCAUGUAUCAGAAUUUACCUCCUUUUUAAGGCUGAAUAAUAGUGUAUUAUGUGUAUAUAGCUCACAUUUUGUUUAUCCAUUCAUCUGACAGUGGACUCUUGAGUUGCUUCCGUUGCUUCGUUAUUGUGAAUAAUGCUGCAGUGAACAUGGGUGUGCAAAUACCUCUUUGAGUCCCUGCCAUCAGUUAUCUUGUGUAUAUACCCAGAAGUGGUUUGCUAGACCUAUAGUAAUUCAAUUUUUAAGUUUUUUAAGUAAACUGCCGUACUGUUUUCCAUAGUGGUUGCACCAUUUUGUAUUCCUUUCAAUGGUGCACAGGGUUCCAAUUUCUCCACAUUCUGUUUUUUGUUUGUUUGUUUGUUUGUUUUUGAUAGUAGCCAUCCUAGUGGGUAUGAGGUGGUAUCUCAUUGUGGUUUUGAUUUGCAUUUCCCUAAUGAUUAGUGAAGUUGAACAUCUUUUUUAUGUUCUUAUUGGCCAUUUGUAUAUCUUCUUUGGAAGCAUAUCUAUCCAAGCCCUUUCCCCAUUCUUUAUUUAUUUAUUUAUUUAUUUAUUUAUUUAUUUUGAGAUGGAGCCCUGCUCAGUUGCCCAGACUGGAGGGCAGUGGCACGAUCUCGGCUCACUGCAACCUCUGCCUCCCAGGUUCAAGCCAAUUCUCCUGCCUCAGCCUCCGGAGUAGCUGGGAUUACAACUGUGCACCACCACGUCCGGCUAAUUUUUGUAUUUUCGUGGAGACGGGGUUUUACCAUGUUGGCCAGGCUGGUCUCGAACUCCUGACCUCAGGUGAUCUGCCCACCUCAGCCUCCCAAAGUGCUGGGAUUGCAGGCAUGAACCACCGUGCCUGGCCCCCUUUCUCCAUUCUUUAAUUGGGUUGUUUGUUUUUUUGUGAUUGAGUUGUAGGAGUUCUUUAUAUAUUCUGGAUAUUAACUCCUCAUCACAUAUAUGGUUUGCCAAUGUUUUCUCCCAUUUCACGGGUUGCCAUUUCACUUUGUUGACUGUAUCUUUUGAUGCACAGAAAUUUUACAUUUUGACAAAGUCCAAUUUAUUUUUUCGUUUGUUGCUUGUGCUCUACCUACUGCGUGCAUGUGUGUGUCUGUGUAACAGGGUCUUACUCUGUCUCCCAGGCUUGAGUGCAGUUGUGCAAUCUUGGCUCACUGCAGCCUUGAUCUCCUGGGCUCAGCAAUCAUCCCACCUCAGCCUCCAGAGUAGCUGGGACUACAGGCGAGUGCCACCACACUGGCUAAUUUUUGUAUUUUUAGUUGAGACAGAGUGUUGUCAUGUUGCCCAGUCUGGUCUUGAACUUCUGGGCUCAAGCAAUCUGCUGGCUUCAUCCUCCCAAAGCGCUGGGAUUACAGGUGUGAGUCACCUUGCUCAGUCUCUACCUGCAUUUUUGAAUCUGUGUCCUUUGUCAUUACCUGGCUACUUUUUGAGACGUCCAUCAUUUUCUAGCGUACCUGUCUCCAGUUCUCUAAGUUGUUUGUUACAAAUUCUUACACGGUGCUAAAAUUAUCCCAAGCCAAAAAUAACUGUUUGCUGAACAUUAGGCUACUAGGUUACUUUUAUUCUUCUGGUAAGUAUAAAUUCAUACUCUGCACACCUUUUUUAUUGUGUUACAAAAUGGGCAGUAAAAGGCUUGUUUGCAACAAUAUCCAUCCCCUGUGUGCAUGAGACCACACUCCCUGGAGAAAUUCUAAAGCUACAACAAAAUUACCUGAUCUUUCUUUUAGCACAUUUGUCAGGUUACUGCCAUUAGCAUCCAAAAUGAGCAUCUAGUGAGGCCAUUUCAGGCUAAUGCGUCUUUCCCAAAUAGCAUUCUAUUGGUCAAAAUGAAGUAAUUGGGAAUGUGUCCCAUGAUAUAGCAUACUCUCUAAGCGGUCAAAUCUAAGGAAUAAUUUUUGGGGAAAAGCCCUGCUUUAUAUUCUGGCUAGGCCUAACAACGAUAACAAUAACAGCAGUAGAAAUAACCACCAUAUGUUGGGUAUCACUCUAGCCUGGCGCUGAGCUCAGUGCUUCACACAUACUCUCACACUGAAUCCACAAAACAGCCUGAUCGGAAGAUUCUCAUUGAUAUGGUUUGGCUGUCUGUCCCCUCCCAAAUCUCAUCUCCAGUUGUAAUCCCCACGGGUCGAGUGAGGGGCCUGUAAUCCCUACGUGUCGAGGGAGGGAGGUGAUUGGAUCAUGGGGGCAGUUUCCCCCAUGCUGUUCUCAUGAUAGUGAGUGAGUUAUCAGGAGAUCUGAUGGUUUUAUACGUGUUUGGAAGUUCCUUCCUCACUCUUCUCUCUCCUGCCGCCUUGUGGUGAAGGUGCCUGCCUCCCCUUCGCCUUCCACCAUGAUUGUAAGUUUCCUGAGGCCUCCUCAGCCAUAAGGAACUGUGCGUCAAUUAAACCUCUUUAGUUUAAAAAUUAUCCAGUCUCAGGUAUUUGUUUAUAGCAGUGUGAAAACAGACUAAUACACUCAUACUGUUCCCAAUCUACAAGUGGGGAAAUUGAGGCUCAGGCAGGUAAAGGCACAUGCCCACCAGCCACACAGGUUCUGAUGGGUAGAUCUGGAAUUUGAACCCAUGUCUCUCAGAGCCCAGGCUCUUGUUUGUUUGUUUGUUUGUUUGUUUAUUUUUGAGACGGAGUCUUGCUCUGUCACCUAGGCUGGAGUGCGGUGGCGUGAUCUUGGCUCACUACAACCUCUGCCUCCCAGGUUCAAGCGAUUCUCCUGCCUUAGCCUCCUGAGUAGCUGGGAUUACAGGUGCCCAUCACCAUGCCCGGCUAAUUUUUGUAUUUUUAGUAGAGACGGGUUUUUACCAUGUUGGCCAGGCUUGUCUUGAAUGCCUGACCUCAGGUGAUCCACCUGCCUUAGCCUCCUAAAGUGCUGGGAUUACAGGCAUGAGCCACUGUGCCUGGCCUAUUUAUUUAUUUAUUUAUUUUUAUGGACGUGGAGUCUUGCUGUGUUGCCCAGGCUGGCCUUGAAUUCCUGGGCUCAAGUGAUCCUCUCGCCUAAGCCUCCCAAGUAGCAAGCUUUUAAUCAUCACAUGACUCUGCUUUUAUCCACAUGAUUUAUGCCUGCUGUGAGUGCCCUAGCACCGCACGUGCCCCAGAGAGAAACCUGCCCAGGUAGCUGGGUUUGCAGUGCUCCUACCUUGAACCUGCCAAGUCAGCUGCAGUGCUGGGGCCCAGACCCAGCUUUGUUCCCUCUGCCCCAUGGUUGGUGGUCCUUCCUGGGAGGCAGGCUGAUCCAAUGAAGGCACAUCGUAUGUGGCUCCUCCUCACCCCUUAUCAGGCAGUUUAGAACCAACUCACCAACAUACUUGGAAGGAAGGAAAGACUACUGGGAAGAAAGCUGCCACUCACUCUGGCCACAUGUUACACACAAUGGUGACAACAUAAAAACACCUGAGGCACAAGAAAUCCUGGUUGCCUCUGCUUUUGUUUUGGAAAAGGAGCUUUCCAAAAUGUUUAUUUCUGGUAAGCUUUUUUUUUUUUUAUCAUGGAAUAUUUCAAACAUAUAUAACAGUAGAAUAAUGUACCAGUUACUCAGCCUCAGAGUGACAACUCAUGCCCAAUCUUGUUUCCUCUACUUCCCACCCCAAUACCCUUAUCUCAUUGGGUUAUUUUAAAGCAAAUCCUAGACACCAUAACGUUUCAACCAUGACUAUUUUGGUAUAUAUUUCUAAAAGAUAAGGGAAUCUUCAAAAGGUUAUAAUAGCCAGAAUGCCAUUAUCACUCCUGGAAAAAUUAUCAUCAAAUUGAUCUAGUCAGCGCCUACAAUUUCCCUGAUUGUCUCCUACAUGUUUUGUACAUCUUAUUAAAAAGGCCAUGUGUGUUUUAAGUCUCUUUUAAUCUAUAGUUUCUCUCUCCCCACAUCUCUGUCUCUGUCUCUCCACCUCUCCACUCUUGCUGUUUAUUAAUAUCUGUGGAAGAAACCCAUUGUUUGUCCAGCAGCAUUUCCCUCAAUCUGGAUUUUGCUGCUUGUAUUCCUGUGGGGUCCUUUAACAUGUUCCUCUGUCUUCGGAAUUUCUUGUAAUUAGAUCUAGAGGCUUGAUCAGGUUCAGGUUUGAUUUUUGGCAGCAAUACUUCACAGGAGGUAUCGCGCUGUGUCCUUUUGUCAGGAGGCCCAUAAUGUCUUGUGAGCUCUUUUUUUGGGUGAAGUUUGUAGCUGUGGAUGUUCACUGCCUAGAUUCACUAUCUCAUUAAGGCUUGCAAAAUGAUGAUGCUUUUUUUUUGUUUAGCCAGGGUUUUGUUCUGUCACCUUGGCUGGAAUGCAGUGUGGGAUCUUGGCUCACUGCAGCCUUAAUCUCCUGGGCUCAAGUGAUCCUCUCACCUCAGCCUCCCAAGUAGCUGGGACUACAGGCAUGUGCCACCACACCCAGCUAAUUUGGUGUUCUAAUUCUAUCUUCCUUCUUCAUUUAUUAGCUGGAAUACUUGAAAAAGGGCAUCUCCUCAUUAACUCUUUAGUUACCCCAAGGCGCAGUAUGCCCUCUUUCAGUAUAUACACUAUAGACAGUGCAAGACUUGGCUCUUUAAUGGCUUUCAAAUAAUGAGUUUGUUUCCUAGCAUCCUGAGAGGUUUUUUUUUAAAAUUGAUUUUUAAAAAAGUAUCAUUAUGGGGCCGAGCUUGGUGAUUUACACCUGUAAUCUCAGCACUUUGGGAGGCUGAGGUGGGAGGAUCACUUGAGCCCAGGAGUUCAGGACCAGCCUGGGCUGGCAAGAACCUGUCUCUACAGAAAAUACAAAAAUUAGCCAUGGAGCACAUACCUGUAGUCCCAGCUACUUGGGGAGCUGAGGUAGGAGGAUUACUUGAGCCCAGAGGUCCAGGCUGCAGUGAGCCAAAAUCGCGCCACUGCACUCCAGCCUGGGCAACAGAAUGAGACCCCACCCCUCAACCUCUCUCAAAAAAACAGUAUCAUUAUGAAUAUAGGGACUGAAUGCUAUUUGAUGUGUUUCAGUCCCCUGUGAUUCUUAUUCUUAUUGCUGUUCAAAUGAUCCUAUUCAGCCAGAGAGAACCUCUUUGGAUUGGUUCCUGAUGUCUUUGACCCCAGUUGGCUUUGAUGGCUUCCUUGCUUUCUGGAACAGCAAGGUGCCCCAGACUCAUCUUGUACACUUGCUGCUCCAAACCUGGAAUCAGCCAUCUGUCUAAGGAGUCCUGGUUCCUUUGAGUGAGGAAUAUUAUUUAGAAAGCACGAUCUUGUUUUAUGCAAUGCUCAUUACUAUUGGGUUGGUCAUUGUUUCUGGGCAUUUUGAGUGAAUAGAGCUCAGAAAUACAUUUUUUAAAAGGUAAAAUGCAUCACAAAUUAUGAUUACCAAAACUUGGAAGCAGCAAGAUGUUCUUCAGUAGGUGACUGGGUAAACAAACUAUGGUACAUCCAGACAAUGGAAUAUUAUGCAGCGCUUAAAAGGAAGAGUUACCAAGCAAUGAAAAGACACAGGAGAACCUUAAAUGCAUAUUGUUGGGUGGAAGAAGCCAGUCUGUAAAGGCUACACAGAUGAUUCUAACUAUACAAAAAGGCAACACUAUCAAGACAGUAAAAGAUCCAUAGAUUCCAAGUGUUUGGGGGAGGGAGGGCUGGACAGGGGGCACACAGGAUUAGUGAAACUACUCUGUAUGAUAUUAUAAUAGUAGAUAUAUGUCAUUAUACAUUUGUUCCAACCCAUAGAAUGUAAAUCAAGAGUGAAUUUGAAUGUAAACUGUGGACUUUAGUCAAUGUCUCAUUAUUGAUGUAUCAGUUGUAACAAAUGUAUGCCAUUAUGCAAUGUCACUGGUCUGAUUUUUAAAAAAGAGCCCUCCAUUAAUGAAAGAUGUUCACAACAGGGGAAACUGGGAGGGGGUUGGGGAGAUGAAGGGAUAUACGGGAACUCUCUAUUUUCUGCUGAAUUUUUCUGUAAACCUGAAACUGCUAAAAAAAUAAAGUCUACUAAUGUGCUUAAAAAAUCAUGAGUUCAUAUUGACACUUCUAAUUUAAAUUCAGGAUCACCAUGUUUUUACUUAGCCUUGUCUGUUCUUUCUCCCAUGAGAAAUGCCCUUUCUUUUCAGUUCCCAGUGAAAGAUAAACUCAUCUGUUGAGUCUGACCCACUUCACACUCUCAGAUAAGAAUGCCAGUACUAUCAUGUCUUAGUCCAUCUGGGCAGCUGUAACAAAAUACCUUAGACUGGAUAAUUUGUAAAUAAUAAAAACUUAUUGCUCAAGUUCUGGAGGCUGGAAGUCCAAGAUCAAGGCCCAGCAGAUUUGGUGUCUGGUGAGGG
Molecule: long non-coding RNA, 9962 nt
Filed under: Homo sapiens (human)
Lineage: Eukaryota; Metazoa; Chordata; Mammalia; Primates; Hominidae
Description: non-protein coding lnc-ANGPTL2-2:6
Source: RNAcentral